RNAcentral lists this ribosomal RNA (468 nucleotides) under uncultured bacterium. RNAcentral's name for it is "partial 16S ribosomal RNA". It matches the Rfam family "Bacterial small subunit ribosomal RNA", at positions 28 to 507 of the family's 1533-position model. The record is from RNAcentral.
GACGAACGCUGGCGGCGUGCUUAACACAUGCAAGUCGAACGGAAAGGCCCUGCUUUUGUGGGGUGCUCGAGUGGCGAACGGGUGAGUAACACGUGAGUAACCUGCCCUUGACUUUGGGAUAACUUCAGGAAACUGGGGCUAAUACCGGAUAGGAGCUCCUGCUGCAUGGUGGGGGUUGGAAAGUUUCGGCGGUUGGGGAUGGACUCGCGGCUUAUCAGCUUGUUGGUGGGGUAGUGGCUUACCAAGGCUUUGACGGGUAGCCGGCCUGAGAGGGUGACCGGCCACAUUGGGACUAAGGUAGGGCCCAGACUCCUACGGGAGGCAGCGGUGGGGAAUAUUGCACAAUGGGCGGAAGCCUGAUGCAGCAACGCCGCGUGCGGAAUGACUGCCUUCGGGUUGUAAACCGCUUUCGCCUGUGACGAAGCGUGAGUGACGGUAAUGGAUAAAGAAGCACCGGCUAACUACGUG